ACACUCCUGCGGGAGGCAGCAGUGGGGAAUAUUGGACAAUGGGCGCAAGCCUGAUCCAGCCAUGCCGCGUGAGUGAUGAAGGCCCUAGGGUUGUAAAGCUCUUUCACCGGUGAAGAUAAUGACGGUAACCGGAGAAGAAGCCCCGGCUAACUUCGUGCCAGCAGCCGCGGUAAUACGAAGGGGGCUAGCGUUGUUCGGAUUUACUGGGCGUAAAGCGCACGUAGGCGGACUAUUAAGUCAGGGGUGAAAUCCCGGGGCUCAACCCCGGAACUGCCUUUGAUACUGGUAGUCUUGAGUUCGAGAGAGGUGAGUGGAAUUCCGAAUGUAGAGGUGAAAUUCGUAGAUAUUCGGAGGAACACCAGUGGCGAAGGCGGCUCACUGGCUCGAUACUGACGCUGAGGUGCGAAAGCGUGGGGAGCAAACAGGAUUAGAAACCCCGGUAGUCCCAUGA
RNAcentral lists this ribosomal RNA (451 nucleotides) under uncultured organism. RNAcentral describes it as "partial 16S ribosomal RNA". It matches the Rfam family "Bacterial small subunit ribosomal RNA", at positions 333 to 800 of the family's 1533-position model. The record is from RNAcentral.